Molecule: non-coding RNA, 194 nt
Filed under: human gut metagenome
Source: RNAcentral
AUAACUGUUAUUGCGAUAGGUGGAAUGAGAGGGUAACGCCUUGAAACGCCUGCUCAAAGAAACGCCAUGCAAAAGGGGAGAUAAUGCCCUUGCUGUAUGAAGUGCGUUAAGAUGUCCAGUGUCCGCCCUAACAAGUAAUGUUGAGGAAAACCGAACCAGAGGUGGUCGAGCGGUAUAGGGCUAGAGUCUAUAAA